GGCUACUGCUUUUGGGAUUCGAUUAAGCCAUGUGAGUCAAGGGGUCUUCGGACACCGGCAUACUGCUCAGUAACACGUGGAUAACCUAACCUCUGGAGGGGCACAGCCUCGGGAAACUGAGGGUAAUUCCCCAUAGGUCUUAGGUGCUGGAAUGCCCUUAGACUGAAAUGUUCCAGCGCCAGAGGAUGGGUCUGCGACCUAUCAGGUUGUAGUUGGUGUAACGGACCAACUAGCCUUCGACGGGUACGGGCGUUGAGAGACGUAGCCCGGAGAUGGACUCUGAGACACGAGUCCAGGCCCUACGGGGCGCAGCAGGCGCGAAAACUUCGCAAUGCGGGAAACCGCGACGAGGGAAUCCCAAGUGCGAGCACAAUGUGUACGCUGAUUCCUUGUCUAAAAAACAAGGAGAGUAAGGGCUGGGUAAGACCGGUGCCAGCCGCCGCGGUAAUACCGGCAGCUCUAGUGGUAGCCGUUUUUAUUGGGCUUAAAGCAUCCGUAGCCGGCUGGGUAAAUCCCUGGGUAAAUCGUACAGCCUAACUGUGCGACUUCCGGGGACACUGCCUAGCUUGGGACCGGGAGAGGUUAGAGGUACUCUUUGGGUAGGGGUAAAAUCCUGUAAUCCUUAGAGGACGACCAGUGGCGAAGGCGUCUAACCAGAACGGAUCCGACGGUGAGGGAUGAAGCCCUGGGUCACGAACGGGAUUAGAUACCCCGGUAGUCCAGGGUGUAAACGCUGCAGACUUGGUGUUGGUUGUCCCACGAGGGCAACCAGUGCCGGAGAGAAAUUGUUAAGUCUGCCGCCUGGGGAGUACGCUUGCAAGAGUGAAACUUAAAGGAAUUGGCGGGGGAGCACAGCAACGGGUGGAGCGUGCGGUUU
RNAcentral lists this ribosomal RNA (877 nucleotides) under uncultured euryarchaeote. RNAcentral describes it as "bacterial SSU rRNA". It matches the Rfam family "Archaeal small subunit ribosomal RNA", at positions 22 to 903 of the family's 1478-position model. The record is from RNAcentral. Lineage: Archaea; Methanobacteriati; Methanobacteriota.